UUACAUUCAUAAUAUUUUUUUUAUCAUCUUCCUGACCAGAAUAUUUUUUCCCCAUCAAAUUGGGAUUAGGAUAUCCCUCCUGUAACUUUAGUUUUAUAAGUGAAAGGAUCUCUAUAAAAUUUUGUAAGAAGGUUCAAUACUACAAAAGGAAGGUUGGGAUUGAUUUUGGGGAUGCUGGUUCAAACCGAGUAGGAAUAAGGGGCCCAAAAGAGCCCCAAAACAAGCAUUUUUCUAGUUUCAGGAUAAUAACUUGUGUAUAACUAUUUGGUUUGCUUUGAAAUUGUAUCACAAUGUCUAUACCACAAGUAGAAGGUAGGUGAUAUAGUUUGAGGGAUAUGGUUCGAACAGUUUAGGAAUUAGGGGCCAAAAAGAAGCAUUUGUGUAGUUUUUUGACAAUAACUUGUGUUUCAGUGUAUGGAGUUUGGGGGUAAUUGCACCAAUCAUGCAGGAAAAAGGGGC
RNAcentral lists this long non-coding RNA (459 nucleotides) under Mytilus galloprovincialis (Mediterranean mussel). The record is from RNAcentral. Lineage: Eukaryota; Metazoa; Mollusca; Bivalvia; Mytilida; Mytilidae.